GAGCGAAAGAGAUUUCGUUAGUGCAAGAUUAUUCCGAGUAUCUCUGAUGAGUUUGGGAAUGUGAAUGGGGACGAAUUGUGAAUGUGAAUGGGUUACAAAACCCACUGAAAUAAAUUGAAUUAAUCAAGCGGAAGGACCGAGUUAUUUCGAACUAAUUGGAAGGGUUUAUCAUGAACGGGUCGCUCGCUCGCUCGCUCGGUCAUUCGCUCUGUUCCAAAUCACUUCACAAAUCUCAAUUGUUGCCAGCCCAUACCCAUACCCAUACCCAUGCCGAGAUCCAUUAGAUUUUCACAUUCCUUCAGUCUGUGUUCAAGUUCUAUAGUCGAAAGUUUUGCUCCCCUCAUUCCGCUUGUCAUGAACAGGCGCCAACUUUUCUCCCCUCUCUCUCGCUCUCCAUUUUUUUUUUGUUACGCUUCCAUCAAAAAGCAUCGAAAUCGAACCAAAAAUCUGCCAAUAACACUCAAAUGCUUUUUUCGCCUCGCACUCUCCCUCUCUCUCUCUCUCUCUCCAUUGUGUAUCUUUUGUAUCUGUGUGUAGGUGUGUUGGUGUGUGUGUGUAUGCCUGUCAACGUCAAACACUUCUUGUUAGCAAGUGUUAUGUAUGUUCACGCUGCUUUUCAAUCCUGACUGCCUCCCGACUGCCUGCCUCUGGCCUGCCUUCCCUUUUGUUUUCUGCUGCGUUGGCAUUUUCUGCGAAUCCCGCUUUCCCGUUUUCCCGUUUUCAUUUCUUUUCUUUUCUGUUCUUCUUUUUGCCAACUUCCAUGUAAUUUUCAACGCAAUUUUCUUGUUGGCUGGAUAUCUAAC
This 803-nucleotide long non-coding RNA is filed under the name Drosophila guanche. Lineage: Eukaryota; Metazoa; Arthropoda; Insecta; Diptera; Drosophilidae. The record is from RNAcentral.